Molecule: ribosomal RNA, 253 nt
Filed under: uncultured prokaryote
Description: partial 16S ribosomal RNA
Rfam family: Bacterial small subunit ribosomal RNA
Source: RNAcentral
ACGAACCGAGCGAACGUUGUUCGGAAUCACUGGGCUUAAAGGGCGCGUAGGCGGGCUGUCAAGUCUGGGGUGAAAUCCCGCGGCUCAACCGUGGAACUGCCUUAGAUACUGACGGCCUCGAGGGAGAUAGGGGCGAGCGGAACUGUGAGUGGAGCGGUGAAAUGCGUUGAUAUUCACAGGAACUCCGGUGGCGAAGGCGGCUCGCUGGAUCUUUUCUGACGCUGAGGCGCGAAAGCUAGGGGAGCAAACGGGA